RNAcentral lists this ribosomal RNA (272 nucleotides) under Shigella boydii. RNAcentral describes it as "partial 16S ribosomal RNA". It matches the Rfam family "Bacterial small subunit ribosomal RNA", at positions 1 to 269 of the family's 1533-position model. Lineage: Bacteria; Pseudomonadati; Pseudomonadota; Gammaproteobacteria; Enterobacterales; Enterobacteriaceae. The record is from RNAcentral.
AAAUUGAAGAGUUUGAUCAUGGCUCAGAUUGAACGCUGGCGGCAGGCCUAACACAUGCAAGUCGAACGGUAACAGGAAUCAGCUUGCUGAUUCGCUGACGAGUGGCGGACGGGUGAGUAAUGUCUGGGAAACUGCCUGAUGGAGGGGGAUAACUACUGGAAACGGUAGCUAAUACCGCAUAAUGUCGCAAGACCAAAGAGGGGGACCUUCGGGCCUCUUGCCAUCGGAUGUGCCCAGAUGGGAUUAGCUUGUUGGUGGGGUAACGGCUCACC